GAAGGCGAUCAGAUACCGCCCUAGUUCUAACCAUAAACGAUGCCAGCCAGCGAUCCGGCUGUGUUCCUCAAAUGACACGCCGGGCAGCUUCCGGGAAACCAAAGCUUUUGGGUUCCGGGGGAAGUAUGGUUGCAAAGCUGAAACUUAAAGGAAUUGACGGAGGGGCACCACAAUGGAAUGGAGCCUGCGGCUUAAUUUGACUCAACACGCGAGAAUCUUACUCGGUCCGGACACAGGAAGGAUUGACAGAUUGAGAGCUCUUUCUUGAUUCUGUGGCAGGUGGUGCAUGGCCGUUCUUAGCUGGUGGUGCGAAUUGUCUGGUUAAUUCCGAUAACGAUCGAGACUCUAGCCUACUAAAUAGACGUUCCGAUCAUUAUGUCGGACGGUCUUCUUAGAGGGACACGCGGCGUUUAGCCGCACGAGACAGAGCAAUAACAGGUCUGUGAUGCCCUUAGAUGUCCGGGGCCGCACGCGCGCUACAUUGAAGGAAUCAGCGUGUGCUUUCCCUGUCCGACAGGACUGGGUAACCCGUUGAACCUCCUUCGUGCUUGGGAUAGGCCGAUGUAAUUAUGGCCUUGAACGAGGAAUUCCUAGUAAGUGCGAGUCAUUAACUCGCAUUGAUUACGUCCCUGCCCCUUGUGCACACCGCCCGUCGCCGUUAGCGAUUGAAUGAUUUAGUGAGGUCUUCGGACUGGCGCUCGGAUACCGUUCUUCGGAGCGAGCCGGCGCGCCGGAAAGAUGAUCGAACUUGGUUAUUUAGAGGUAACGAAAGUCGUAACAAGGUUGC
Molecule: ribosomal RNA, 787 nt
Filed under: Episinus nubilus
Lineage: Eukaryota; Metazoa; Arthropoda; Arachnida; Araneae; Theridiidae
Also listed under: 1 other name
Description: SSU rRNA
Rfam family: Eukaryotic small subunit ribosomal RNA
Source: RNAcentral